RNAcentral lists this long non-coding RNA (602 nucleotides) under Fukomys damarensis (Damara mole-rat). RNAcentral's name for it is "lncRNA (ENSFDAG00000029463.1)". The record is from RNAcentral. Lineage: Eukaryota; Metazoa; Chordata; Mammalia; Rodentia; Bathyergidae.
GCCCCGUUCCAAGUCCUGAAGAGAUGCAGAGUCCAGUAAUUCAAAGGUGACCCGAAGCUCCAUUACUCCAUGUCUUUACUGCACAGAUAGGAGCCUAAGGCGGGACAACCUAAAGAGGCAGUCAACUGUCGGUAGAAUAGAACUAGAACCCUGAACUCUGAUCUUUCCCUUCCUCCAGGCAGUGAAGCAAGUGACAUGGAUUCUCUCCAACCACCUAAGUAUUUCGUUUUAUGAAGAGAUGAGUUUUGACCUGGUGCUGCUAUAAGCUUCCUCAGUCAGGAAGCUCUGCCUGUCCAGGAUUUCCUGUGUGUGGGAAAGAAACAGGAUGAGCAGAUUAAUCCUCCAUGGCUUUUAAAAAAAAAAGUACAUGAGGCCCUCCUUCUGGCAGAGGAAUGGGCUGGAGCAAAGUCCCUGAGGCAGCAAGAAGGAAUCCUAGAGAAACCAUCUCUGCUGGACCUGGUGGCACGUGCCUUUAAUCCCAGCACUCAGGAGUCUGAGGCAGGAGGAUCAUUGCAAGUUUGAAGCCAGCCUGGGCUAUGGAGUGAGUUCAAUACCAGCCUGCGCUACAAAGUAAGACCCCAUCAUAAAAACCAAAAUCAAAC